CUACGGGAGGCACCAGUGGGGAAUAUUGCACAAUGGGCGCAAGCCUGAUGCAGCCAUGCCGCGUGUAUGAAGAAGGCCUUCGGGUUGUAAAGUACUUUCAGCGGGGAGGAAGGGAGUAAAGUUAAUACCUUUGCUCAUUGACGUUACCCGCAGAAGAAGCACCGGCUAACUCCGUGCCAGCAGCCGCGGUAAUACGGAAGGUGCAAGCGUUAAUCGGAAUUACUGGGCGUAAAGCGCACGCAGGCGGUUUGUUAAGUCAGAUGUGAAAUCCCCGGGCUCAACCUGGGAACUGCAUCUGAUACUGGCAAGCUUGAGUCUCGUAGAGGGGGGUAGAAUGCCAGGUGUAGCGGUGAAAUGCGUAGAGAUCUGGAGGAAUACCGGUGGCGAAGGCGGCCCCCUGGACGAAGACUGACGCUCAGGUGCGAAAGCGUGGGGAGCAAACAGGAUUAGAUACCCCGGUAGUC
This 464-nucleotide ribosomal RNA is filed under the name uncultured bacterium. RNAcentral's name for it is "partial 16S ribosomal RNA". It matches the Rfam family "Bacterial small subunit ribosomal RNA", at positions 339 to 795 of the family's 1533-position model. The record is from RNAcentral.